Molecule: long non-coding RNA, 90 nt
Organism: Sinocyclocheilus rhinocerous
Lineage: Eukaryota; Metazoa; Chordata; Actinopteri; Cypriniformes; Cyprinidae
Exons: 3
Source: RefSeq, a predicted model, not a curated record
CAAAGAUGUGCGAUUGGAUGAGCGAUUUGAGAUUUGAUUGUAAAAAAGGCCUCUGAGCUAGAAGAAUAAUGUGGAAAGAAAAUAAUUUUG